Molecule: long non-coding RNA, 1745 nt
Filed under: Carassius auratus (goldfish)
Lineage: Eukaryota; Metazoa; Chordata; Actinopteri; Cypriniformes; Cyprinidae
Description: lncRNA (ENSCARG00000053758.1)
Source: RNAcentral
GUAAGGCAGGGUUUUUGCCUUUUUUAUUGCAUGUUAUCCUGAUUUUGAUCCAAAGACUAUGAAUUGUGUGUGUGUGUGUGUGUGUGUGUGUGUGUGUGUGUGUGUGUGUGUGUGUGCGUGCGUGCGUGUGUGUGUUUUUUUUUUUUUUACAUUGUACCAAAUGUCCCCACAAUUAAAGUGAACCACCUAUGUAUGUAAUUUUGAUAACAGGGAAGGAACCAAAGGAAACAAAAUGCAAAGUCACCAUGGAGAAAUUGUUUGGUAUGUGAUAUAUCAAUUAGACAUUAUUUAUUUAUACAGACAUAACAUCCUUUGCUAUAUAACAAUCUAACUUUACAAUUUUUCAGAAAUGAAUACUAAGAUACUCCAACAAAUUCAAAUGCUGGAACAGAGACAAGCUGUCAUCAUGAAUGACUUGGCCAAAGUUAAGUCUGUUCUCAUGAAGCGGGCAGAAGAAGAUGCCCAUGAGGAACUUUUUAAACAACAACAGUGCUCCAGCUUUGAAAUGUUUGAAGCCUUCUGUCAGAGGCUUGAAGAAGACAAAAAUUAUCGAGAGCUUUAUGUACACUAUCUCAUCCAUACUCACGGCAGCUCCAAUAUAGCGUCAGACAAUGUUCUCUGUCUGUAUAACAGAACGGGGAAAGAUGGGAAGAAGGUGUUGCCACCUGUGCUCCUGACAUGUUUGAAAAAAUGUGUCAGGUCUUUUCACAAACAAAAUGAAAUAGAGGUGAAGAAGCUAAAAGUAACCACCAGAACAACACCAGACGCGGAAUGUAUUCGCCAAGUAGAAAUUUUUUUGUCCAACACCAACACCAGGCUGAAAAGGAAACCAAAUAAAGGAAAAAUCUGACUUUUUGUUUGAUUGUUUUGAUUGAUGGAAAUAAAGAAUGUGGGUGUAAAAGUUUGAGUUAACUGAGUCAUUUUAGAUAUCAGUGAACUAACAGAAUUAUUGCAUAGUGGUGUUAUAUGGUGAUCUCACAGUAUGAGCACACAGUGACCACAGUAUGAGCAUACAGUGUUCACAGUAUGAGCACACGGUGACUACAGUAUGAGCACACGGUGAGUGCACAGUGACAUCACAGUGACCAGAGUAUGAGCGCACAGUGAUCACAGUAUGAGCACACAGUGACCAGAGUAUGAGCACACAGUGAUCACAGUAUGAGCACACAGUGACCACAGUAUGAGCACACAGUGAUCACAGUAUGAGCACACAGUGACCACAGUAUGAGCACACAGUGACUACAGUAUGAGCACACGGUGAGUGCGCGGGACAUCACAGUGACCACAGUAUGAGCACACAGUGAUCACAGUAUGAGCACACAGUGACCAGAGUAUGAGCACACAGUGAUCACAGUAUGAGCACACAGUGACCAGAGUAUGAGCACACAGUGAUCACAGUAUGAGCACACAGUGAUCACAGUAUGAGCACACAGUGACCACAGUAUGAGCACACAGUGACUACAGUAUGAGCACACGGUGAGUGCGCGGGACAUCACAGUGACCACAGUAUGAGCACACAGUGAUCACAGUAUGAGCACACAGUGACCAGAGUAUGAGCACACAGUGAUCACAGUAUGAGCACACAGUGACCAGAGUAUGAGCACACAGUGAUCACAGUAUGAGCACACAGUGAUCACAGUAUGAGCACACAGUGACCAGAGUAUGAGCACACAGUGAUCACAGUAUGAGCACACAGUGACCAGAGUAUGAGCACACAGUGAUCACAGUAUGAGCACACAGUGAGU